Molecule: ribosomal RNA, 844 nt
Filed under: Phaeosphaeria caricis-sectae
Lineage: Eukaryota; Fungi; Ascomycota; Dothideomycetes; Pleosporales; Phaeosphaeriaceae
Description: partial large subunit ribosomal RNA
Rfam family: Eukaryotic large subunit ribosomal RNA
Source: RNAcentral
GAGUGAAGCGGCAACAGCUCAAAUUUGAAAUCUGGCUCUUUCAGAGUCCGAGUUGUAAUUUGCAGAGGGCGCUUUGGCGUUGGCAGCGGUCCAAGUUCUUUGGAACAGGACGUCACAGAGGGUGAGAAUCCCGUACGUGGUCGCUAGCCUUCGCCGUGUAAAGCCCCUUCGACGAGUCGAGUUGUUUGGGAAUGCAGCUCUAAAUGGGAGGUAAAUUUCUUCUAAAGCUAAAUACUGGCCAGAGACCGAUAGCGCACAAGUAGAGUGAUCGAAAGAUGAAAAGCACUUUGGAAAGAGAGUCAAAUAGCACGUGAAAUUGUUGAAAGGGAAGCGCUUGCAGCCAGACUUGCCUGUAGUUGCUUAUCUGGACUUUUGUCCGGUGCACUCUUCUAUAGGCAGGCCAGCAUCAGUUUGGGCGGUUGGAUAAAGGUCUCUGUCAUGUACCUCCUUUCGGGGAGGCCUUAUAGGGGAGACGACAUGCAACCAGCCUGGACUGAGGUCCGCGCAUCUGCUAGGAUGCUGGCGUAAUGGCUGUAAGCGGCCCGUCUUGAAACACGGACCAAGGAGUCUAACAUCUAUGCGAGUGUUUGGGUGUCAAGCCCAGACGCGUAAUGAAAGUGAACGGAGGUGGGAACCCUUUGGGUGCACCAUCGACCGAUCCUGAUGUCUUCGGAUGGAUUUGAGUAAGAGCAUGGCUGUUGGGACCCGAAAGAUGGUGAACUAUGCUUGAAUAGGGUGAAGCCAGAGGAAACUCUGGUGGAGGCUCGCAGCGGUUCUGACGUGCAAAUCGAUCGUCAAAUUUGGGCAUAGGGGCGAAAGACUAAUCGAACUAUCUAGUAGCUGG